Molecule: transfer RNA, 83 nt
Filed under: Sodiomyces alcalophilus JCM 7366
Lineage: Eukaryota; Fungi; Ascomycota; Sordariomycetes; Glomerellales; Plectosphaerellaceae
Also listed under: 1 other name
Description: tRNA-Leu
Rfam family: tRNA
About the family: Transfer RNA (tRNA) molecules are approximately 80 nucleotides in length. Their secondary structure includes four short double-helical elements and three loops (D, anti-codon, and T loops).
Source: RNAcentral
GGCAAGAUGGCCGAGUUGGUCUAAGGCGCUAGCUUCAGGUGCUAGUCUAGUAAUAGGCGUGGGUUCGAAUCCCACUCUUGUCA